UUCGUUGCAUAACGAGAAGUUGAAAGGCGGCUUUUAGCUGUCACUUACAGAUGGGCCCGCGGCGCAUUAGCUAGUUGGUAAGGUAACGGCUUACCAAGGCGACGAUGCGUAGCCGACCUGAGAGGGUGAUCGGCCACACUGGGACUGAGACACGGCCCAGACUCCUACGGGAGGCAGCAGUAGGGAAUCUUCCGCAAUGGACGAAAGUCUGACGGAGCAACGCCGCGUGAGUGAUGAAGGUUUUCGGAUCGUAAAACUCUGUUGUCAGGGAAGAACAAGUGCCGUUCAAAUAGGGCGGCACCUUGACGGUACCUGACCAGAAAGCCCCGGCUAACUACGUGCCAGCAGCCGCGGUAAUACGUANGGGGCAAGCGUUGUCCGGAAUUAUUGGGCGUAAAGCGCGCGCAGGCGGGUCCUUUAAGUCUGAUGUGAAAGCCCACGGCUUAACCGUGGAGGGCCAUUGGAAACUGGAGGACUUGAGUACAGAAGAGGGAGAGUGGAAUUCCNCGUGUANCGGUGAAAUGCGUANAGAUGUNGGAGGAACACCANUGGNCNAAGGCGACUCUCUGGUCUGUAACUGACGCUGAGGUGCGAAAGCGUGGNG
RNAcentral lists this ribosomal RNA (604 nucleotides) under Virgibacillus sp. TSAR10. RNAcentral's name for it is "bacterial SSU rRNA". It matches the Rfam family "Bacterial small subunit ribosomal RNA", at positions 182 to 766 of the family's 1533-position model. The record is from RNAcentral. Lineage: Bacteria; Bacillati; Bacillota; Bacilli; Caryophanales; Bacillaceae.